This 1620-nucleotide long non-coding RNA is filed under the name Triticum aestivum (bread wheat). RNAcentral's name for it is "long non-coding RNA (TAES_LNC009401)". Lineage: Eukaryota; Viridiplantae; Streptophyta; Magnoliopsida; Poales; Poaceae. The record is from RNAcentral.
CAUUCAACAUGAAUCUGAAAUAACACAGGCAAAUAAUUGAUUGUAUGUUAUGCCAUCUAUGUAUAAGAAUAGCACAUCAUAGUCAUUGGGAACAGUAAAAUCAAUAAUUAAAAUCUCAGACUUCUGCCAAACCAAACGAUAUAAGUACAUGGUUCAAAGGAAGAAAAUAGAGAGAGAAAAAAAAAUUCAGUCAGGAUGACUGCCUUCAGCAAAAUGUACCAACUUAACAACUUGGUUUCUUGUUAUAUCCCGUCAUGACACCACAUGAAUGUAAGUUGAUUUGUCUGACUCCCUCCAACUCAAUUGAUACCAAGAACAUGUCACAACAUUAACUUUUUUCACCUACAUCUUCACAAUCAAAUAUCUUAGACCACCCAUAAAAUAAGUUUAUGUAUAAAAUAGCCCGUUAUCUAAGAAAAAAUAAGAGCACAUGCAGUUGUAUCUAGGUUCACAAUGAAUCAUGCUUAAUUUAUCGUGAAACAACUAAGAAAGCAUCAUGCAAAAUAGUAAUCAUCCAAGUAAGAGAGGUACCAAUCAUAUAACGCCUUAAUUACUCUCUCAAGCAUAGAGAAAAUAUAUGUACUUUCCAACAAAAGAUGAGCGAGAGAGAGAGAGAGAGAGACAGAGAGAGACAGACCUCUACUCACCAAUAAACCUGGUAACCAAUGCAUUCGGCAGCCUUAAAAGCAACAAACAGUAGACUGAAACAAUUGAGUUUCUCUAAUGGUGUUGAAAAACAUAUAUAAGAUUAAUAUGUAAGACUACAUAUGGAAAUCUAAUCAGUGUGUCGAACACCUUGAGAUGACUAUCUGAGCGUAACAAAAAAGAGAAAUACAUGAUGAUAUAUGUAUAUAAGCCAGCGAACAUAAUUCCAUGUGUGUGUAUAUAUCUGGAAAUCAAUUGACUUCCCUCUGCACACUUGGUUGAAAUGCUGCAGUAUUUACCGUUAACAAACGACCAUGUGCAAGAAAAAUAGACACCUCGAGCUAAAUGAGAUCCGCAGGAAUAAAAAUAACCACUCCAAGUCUAAAUCAGACCCACAAGAAUUUAUGAACUGCAUGUUUUAACUCAAUCAAGUUGGGAUUCAGAUUUGCAGGUGCAUUUGUUAGCUCAGUCAGAAAUAAUGUCCGGAUUUGGGUGCAUGGUUUCACUUGGGAAUUCAGAGUAAGACGCGAAGAGAAUGCAACAAAUUUUAUCUACAUGGUUACAUAGAAGUGUAUGUAUUCAUGCAUGUAUGAACAACCUCAUGAGACAUGACAUAUAUAAUCAUAUGCAGUUUUUUGUGUUGGUGAAGCAUCAAGAGUCUUGUGGACGAUUGGAAUUUGGGGAGAAUCUGGACUAACCUGAUACAUGAGAGAAUUAGAAGAGACAAUGGCAGACAGCGAGGGUUCCUGAUUCGUCCCAUCCUACGCUAUCAGCAGGCGGCCUGUGGUGGAAUUUACGAAUCAGAACUUAAGUUGGAGUUUGAGAUAGAUGUAAUCUGGACUACAAAGAAGGUGGAGAAACUGAAAGGGAUGGCUCACCGAUGGCGGUUGAGAUUCGAUCAAGGCAUAGGGACAGAGGAGGGCCAAGGGAAAGCAGCGCCACUGCCGUUGGCUCGACGACGCUACAAAGCACCAG